AGGCAACUGUCCUGUGAUGUCAGCGG
RNAcentral lists this non-coding RNA (26 nucleotides) under Cricetulus griseus (Chinese hamster). Lineage: Eukaryota; Metazoa; Chordata; Mammalia; Rodentia; Cricetidae. The record is from RNAcentral.